AGAGUUUGAUCCUGGCUCAGAAUCAACGCUGGCGGCGUGCCUAACACAUGCAAGUCGAACGAGAAAGCGGGGGCAACCCCGUGAGUACAGUGGCGAACGGGUGAGUAACACGUGACUAACCUGCCUUCGAGCGGGGGAUAACCCCGGGAAACCGGGGCUAAUACCGCAUAACAUCCCAAGGUGAAACUCCUUGUGAUCAAAUGCGCAAGCAGCUUGAAGAGGGAGUCGCGCCUGAUUAGCUAGUUGGUGAGGUAACGGCUCACCAAGGCGAUGAUCAGUAGCCGGCCUGAGAGGGCGCACGGCCACACUGGAACUGAAACACGGUCCAGACUCCUACGGGAGGCAGCAGUGGGGAAUUUUGCGCAAUGGGGGAAACCCUGACGCAGCAACGCCGCGUGGAGGAUGAAGUCCCUUGGGACGUAAACUCCUUUCGACCGGGACGAUGAUGACGGUACCGGAAGAAGAAGCCCCGGCCAACUUCGUGCCAGCCGCCGCGGUAAUAC
Molecule: ribosomal RNA, 503 nt
Filed under: uncultured bacterium
Lineage: Bacteria
Description: bacterial SSU rRNA
Rfam family: Bacterial small subunit ribosomal RNA
Source: RNAcentral